This 280-nucleotide ribosomal RNA is filed under the name uncultured bacterium. RNAcentral's name for it is "partial 16S ribosomal RNA". It matches the Rfam family "Bacterial small subunit ribosomal RNA", at positions 506 to 784 of the family's 1533-position model. The record is from RNAcentral.
UGCCAGCAGCCGCGGUAAUACGGAGGGUGCGAGCGUUAAUCAGAACAUACUGGGCGUAAAGCGCGCGUAGGCGGUUUGGUAAGUCGGAUGUGAAAGCCCUGGGCUCAACCUGGGAAUUGCAUUCGAUACUGCCAGACUAGAGUCUGGGAGAGGGAUGCGGAAUUCCGGGUGUAGCGGUGAAAUGCGUAGAUAUCCGGAGGAACAUCAGUGGCGAAGGCGGCAUCCUGGACCAAGACUGACGCUGAUGUGCGAAAGCGUGGGGACCAAACGUAAUUCCGCA